AGAAUUUGUAGAGAAUCUGAACAAGCGGGU
Molecule: non-coding RNA, 30 nt
Filed under: Cricetulus griseus (Chinese hamster)
Lineage: Eukaryota; Metazoa; Chordata; Mammalia; Rodentia; Cricetidae
Source: RNAcentral